Nilaparvata lugens (brown planthopper) is the source of this 6434-nucleotide long non-coding RNA. RefSeq lists it as uncharacterized. The record is from RefSeq and is a predicted model, not a curated record. NCBI's taxonomy places the organism in Eukaryota, Metazoa, Arthropoda, Insecta, Hemiptera, Delphacidae. The transcript is spliced from 5 exons.
AAUUUCAUUCAGUAUUCCUACAAAAAAAUCAUAUAAUUUUAAUAAUUAAUAAUAAUAAUAAUUUAUUCGACUAAAAACAAACAUUGUACAAACAAAUCGAAAUAAAAUAACAUAACUGGUGUAGCAAACACCCACGCAUGCACAAUACAUGUUUAUCAUCAUAGACUAAAUGAAGCCCCAAAGGUAAUAUAAAAAAAGGUUAUAUUCACUGUAUCAGGGGUUUCCCCAUAAACAAAUUCUAUUCUAACUGAUAACAAAUAUUAGUAAGUGAAAAACCUACUCACAGUUACAAUUAUUAUCAAAUACUAAAUAGUAGCAGUGAAUAACAUGGAAAUUAUACUGUUUGCAUUUGUGACUGAUUGAGCAAUUCAAACUAGGAAAGGAGUUCUUAGAAUCAUCCAAAGAAUUCGAAGUAGCUAGAAUAACCUGAGAUUUUCAAUGAUCUGAAAAAAUUGAACAAUAAUAGGAAUAUGUUUCUGACUUGUCUUGGACACAAUCUUACGCCGUAGCAAAGCAAGUGCUGAGAGGGUGAACCCGUCUAGCGAGUUGGACUGCUUCUGGGGAAGUUGAAUGCUCAUGCCUACUGUAUACAGACAGUUACAGUUAUUUUGAAAAACUGGUCUUGAUCUUCCCCUCCAUGAUCAAGGACACCUACGUUGUUUCUCGAACGCAAGUGUAUGUUGGUAUCGACACGAAAGUAGACUCGAACAUUAUUGAUGAUGAAGGAAAAAGGGUGAACGUUUCGGGUUUUUCCAUUCCUUCAGGUUGAUAUUUCUCUGUUCAGAAUCAAAUGAUGCAUUCAAGUUAAAUAGGAAUUGUGGAAAAUAUUGUAGAUAAGAAAUAACUCCAUAUUGAUUUAAACAUUCAUUUAAUUGAAAGGAAAGAUUCCUGAAAAAAUUUCAAGUGUUAUCAAUUCAACUUUACUCAUGAAAUUAAAGUAAUUUAUUAAUUGCUGGAAAUCGACUAAAGUAUUCUCUCAAAUACGGUUGCAGCAUUAACUAUUAUCAGCAAAUCAAUAGGUGAUGGACUCAUGGAGAUUCGAAUUGAUAGUCUUAGUCGGAAUAUAUUUUCUCUUCUGUUAAUGGAAAAUAAUACUUUGCUACCAUAUAUUCUGUUUUCUAUAGAGAAGAAGUCUUCGAAAGUCGGUUCUGUUAUAUUUAUCAGUGAGGAUAUUACAAGGUUAUGAUUUCUGUACAGUCUAUACCAUUUCUUAUCUGGAUGACGUGAAUUUGCCAUUUUACUAAUAUUUCUACACUCAAUUAUCUUGAAGGCGUACAUUGAAACAUUCCGUUUCAAUAUUCGAAGCAAGAAUGUAGAAUGUUAUUAGAAACAAACCUGACCGUUACAUUUCAGAUAGUUAGUUUACCCUCAGGAUGCUCUCCCUCCGAUUCCAUCCUCUCUGAACACAGUAUCUGUGAGUCGAGUGAUUGUUGGGAACCUGUUGGAAGCUGCGAGCAGCUAAGAAGUGAUCACUUUUGUCGACUACAGGUUGCUGAGUUGACCUCCUUGCAGCGAAGGUGACUGGUACCUGACCAGAGGGUGCGGGCAGCAGAUCCGGUUGUGCCUUUGUUGUCACUAAUUAUUAUGCCUGCUCACUGCUUCCCAGUGACGCAUCACUAGCGUGGGUACAGCGACAUCGCUUCACUUGCUAAGAAGCAGUAUAACUCAGUCGGUGUGAGGCUCUGGAUACAUCAACACAUCAUGUAUCGAGUAGUGUAUCCUGAUACUUCAAAGUGGAAAAUGAGGGUCAUAAGAAUCGCAUGCUACAAUUUCGAGUUACAUGAUGUUGGAGGUGAUUGAAUGGAAGACAACAGAAUGAUCGACUGGACGUAAUGUUUCCUAAGUUGAACACCCUGAUGAUGGUUACUGAUGAUGAUGGUUCUGAUCAUGGUUACUACUUGCAGGAUUAUUCAAGAUUCACUACCAAGAUUUCCGCAUCAGCCUUGAUUAUCAAUUCACGUUAGGCUAUGAAUAUGCAUACCUGAUCAUUCAAUUCCAUUCUGAAUCCGUUAUACAGGCCUAUCACUGUAAGUACAACCAAGCAGUAGGGAGUAUCCUGUGGUAGCCUCGUCAACUUUCUGGAGCGUUAUCAUGGCAACGUCUGAAAUUAAUUUCAGCUGAUGACGACCAAGUCUAAUGGCAGCGACGUGUGCGUAUGAGGCAACAUCAGCAGCCUUUCUGCGAUGGAGGCCUCUGAAGCUUCAACUCCAGGAGGAAGUUUGAUACAUUCAACAUCCUGGCUUCACUGUUCCUCGCAGAACAACUUUCCAUUAACAAUUUCGACAGGUUGAAGAGCUGUGGAGUCCUGCAGGUGAAAAAUACGUUCAGCGUUACUGUUUCCGGAGCUAUAUUGGAAGAAGGAGAUUCUUGGAGAUUGGAGAAGGGUGAAAAGACGAAGAUCUCACUGGACCAGUUAGUUGUCUACUCCUUCCUUAGCGAGUUGUUCUGUUGAACUUAUUUUGUUGAUCAUACUUGGGAAACCACUAUUGGUAUUAACAAGCACAGCCAUAUUGAAUCUAAUAACAAAUUCAGCUGAUAAUCUUAUAACGAUGUUGGUUCGGAACGCGCUUGUUCUUCGCUUUAUAAUGAUAUCUUCGCGGGAUUGAAUCAUUCAAGCAUUGGAUAACUCUUUGUUAUUGGGAGUGGAAUCAACUUUUAAAUAAUGACUAGAAUGUGAUGCUGAUAAUAAAAGGUGCAAUUUUGGAAUUGAGGUAUUCUAGUAAUAGGCUAACAUGUCAACUUAUCAAUAAUCUCCCUUGACUUAACUUCUCCCCUUUAAUACAAAAGUUCAGAUCUUUAGUAAGAUUCACGUUAUAGUAGGAAGAUAGGAGAACAGAGUUUAUCUAUUUAUUAGGUGACAAACAAUACAAUCGACUGAGAGUUGCCGAUUCUCUGCCUUGUCACUGCCCCCUAAGGAGAAUAACUGGUACCAGUAUAUUGAUGUACUAUUAACUGUUCAUUAUUGUUGAGAAAAGUUAUAUUUUAUUUGUCAAGGAGAUAUAUUUUUCAAAAUUUAAAAAUAAAUUUUCUCAAUAAUGAGAUAUUGAGAAAAAUCUCAAUAUAUACAAUAUUAUUUAUAUUGAGAUUGAAUAUUUUCUUAAUUAAUUAUAGUUUUGAAUGGUCAAGAAAUGAUCUGGCAACGUUGAGAGGAUAGAGAAGGAUAGCGCAAUUUGUUUUGUCGAAUUAUGAACAAGAAUAGCAACAGCAAUAUUAAAUAAAUACUGCCAUUAGAACGUGGACCUCACUACAGUCGAUCUUGUGUCUUGUAAUUUAUGUCGUAAUCGAAUAAGGAAUUUAUCAAUUUUUUUAAGUUCAUCGAUAUUUCAAUAAAAGUAGUAAAUAACAUGAAAUUAUUCUCACUAUCCAUAGAUUAUUUUCAUUCAAUAUACUAAGGGCAGGCUAGAUAAUGAAUUAUCAUCUCUUUUAUAUAUUGAUAAAAUUGGUUAUUGAUAUUCAUGGAUUAUCUUGUUUAUCAUUUCUCCAAUGUCUUGUUUAAUGUAUCAACAAUAAUUUCCAACAAUCACCAUCAGAGAGUAUAGAAUGUAAUGUCACAUUAUAUACUCUCUGAUCACAAUGGCAGUAAAGUAGAUUGCUUAUAUCGCCCAAAAUACAAUAUCGUAAAACAUAGGUUAUCAAAUCGUAAUACACGAAUGUAAAAAACGAUUCAUCUCACACUGCCUCACCUCAUUCGGGAACAUCAUCAGACUAAUGAAUUACUUUCAAAUGUGAAUUGAUCAUUCUCGAAUUUCAUAUUCAACUAUCAUGAGGAUAGUUCAGAAUGAAUUAUAAUCAUAUUUUGUCACAUUAAUGCGAUAUUUUAUUAAUACUAGAUUUAUAUUGUCUUCGCAGACGACUUGGUGACCGAUUAUGAUAUCUCAUUCUAUGAUGAUUGAUCAACAAUCGGCUCCCUUGAGAGAGUUCCAUUUUUGUAUUAUGUAAAUAAUUUUGUACUUCAUCAUAGAUUCAAUACAUCUAAUUAAUUAUAGAAAUGAAAUACAUAUACUUUACUUAUUGAUAAUAACAACCAUAAUGGAAUAGCUGAUCAGAUUAUUUUGACAAACUUUGGAUUGGUCUUCAAAUGGCGGCUCAGUUAUUUUGAAGCCAAUAUUGGAGCUUUCCCAUCAAUGAGGGAACUAUUCCAUGAGAUCUCAUGCAGAAUGAUACAUCAUUUUAUAUGAAAAUCCUAAUAUAUUGAGCUCUUUGGAAGUACAAUGUCUCUGUUUUCCGCUUGAAAACUCCUUGAUGUAUUUUCUCAUUUCUCGAUUAGGCUGCAAUUGUUGAAAAUUCGAAUUCUUAAUGCUGAUUGAACCGGUAAUUGCAACUCACUCUAAUUCAUUCUCGUCCUAUAAAAUGUCUGAAUUUAAAGCAUUACUCCAGUUCUUAUAAGAGUAUAUUUUCGAAGUCUUAUAUCUAAGACCUUACUUACCUUCUUCAAAUCACUCACCUUCUGUUGUCCUUCAAUGAAUGAAUGGUGUACAAUGAUGAUUGCAUGUCGAAUCGAAUCUGCUACGUAGGCCAAGCACCAUCAAUUUACUAUUUACCCAAUAGUUCUAUCAAUAUUCAACCCUUAUUUUACUCAAUGCUGUCUCACAUCAAAUCAAUCUUUCAGCCAACUAGUUGUUUGUUACAAGUUAUAAUAAUAUUUUUUCGUAUACCAUCCUCCCAUUAAAAUUUUGAAAUGCAUUACUAUGUAUUUUUCAUGGUGAUAAGACUCAGCAUAAGAACUCAGUCGAACUCUAAUUCAAGCCUACAUAUAACCAGAGACAAAUAAAUUAAACAGUAUCUUUACUCUAUGAUAUUGCUCACUAAAUUUUUAAAGUAGGAAUAAUGAGUACUUUAUUUGCAUCAGCAUAACAUCAGCAGGUUAUUUGAUGAGUUAAUGGUGCAUCAAACACAAAUUUAUAUUGAACAGUUCAUAAGAUAUUUCAAUUACAACAAAAUUGGAAUUCAUGAAUUCUCAAAUCAAUUUGAAUAAACUGUUUGAAAAUUAUUUUAUUAUUGUAAAUAGAUCAAAAUAAUCAGUUUGAGAAUUAGAAAUCACUUUGAUAUAUCCUAUUUGAAUUCAUCAAUCAGAACGUAUCACUAAUUAUAACAAUUGGAUAGAUUCGAAUUGUCUAACUGCAGAUAUUUUUUGAAUUUACAAGAUAAAAGUCUCUAUCAAACCCCAGUAAACUCGAAUUUAAAUAUCAAGUUGCAGAAUAUCUUUGAUAAAUGAAAUCAUGGAACCAGGAAAUCUUCACGCUAUUUCAGUUCAAUAAAUGAGAGCGUAUACUAAAGAAAUAAUAUGCUUAAAUAUGUGAUAAUAGGUACCAAUUUCAAGUAUUUUCAUUCGAUAUGGAUGUCUGUCACAAUCCAUAAUCUUACUAGCUUACUACAAAGAAAAUCAUAGCCAAUUGUUCAGAAUUUCCAGAUAAGAGGCUUAUUUCGUUAGGUAAACUAAGUAUGAGCUCAUUCAGAUAUGUUGAUGAACAGUGGGUAUUAUCGUAGAGAAACAAUAGCGUAUUAAACUGACGCUAUUGUUUCUCUAUUUUAUUAUUCAAACAUGAACUUAAUAUGAAACUUCAGCUCAUCCUUUAAUGUUGAUAAUUGAUGAUAAUUUUACUCUCAUGGAAGCUCAAUUAUAUAUUAAAGAUAUAUAUUGCUUAUGACUUGAUCUUAUUAAAUUGAUUAUGGACUUAUUUACUCUAUUUAUCAUAGGUAUAUCAUUAUAGAUAAUGAAGAUGUUGGUAUAUCUUCAUCACGACCUAUAUCAACUGUAUUAAAUGGUCAAGUUUCCAAAAUUUAACAGCCCAUCUCUAGUAAAACAAGCAAACCUCGUGUUAUACUCAAAAUAUCCGGCAGGCGACCUCUUUGUUCAGUGUGACCAUGUCGCCAUCUAACUCACUCCAUAAUAAUCACAACAUCAUGAAUUUCAGCUCUCUAUUGCCUUGAUACAAAUCUAUGCAAUUUAGUGCUGUAUCAAAUUCAACCCGAAGCAAGGUUUCCGAACCAAGUUGAUUGUUUCUUCAAUACAUAGACUGAAUUGGGCACCAAUUAGCCGCGUUAAUAACGUAAAUAUCAGUGGCUAUUGAUUGUUAGCGAUGUCAUGAGUGGUUGUAUCAGAAUACGCCGUAUUUCUCAACAUUGAUUAAUUUCAUUACAGCAACAUGAUAAUGACAGUGACUAAUUUAGUGAACCAUAUUGGCUGUAUCAUUAUUAUAAUAUAGUACAGCCUCAAUAUUCACCUUUCAGCUUCCACUCACUUUUAAAAUAAACAGAAUAUUCAUGAGCAGUAAGUCUAUGAAAUUAUACUUCAAUGUCACGGGAGACUAUACAUAUCAUCAAAAUUAAUAAAUACAGGUGAUGAUAAUUCAUUCUAGUUUCUUAUCCUUAUUUUGAUUGAUAUAGAAGGUUUACCUCAACUGGAAUACAAUAUUAGGAUGAUUUUAUCUGAA